RNAcentral lists this unclassified non-coding RNA (800 nucleotides) under Hevea brasiliensis (rubber tree). Lineage: Eukaryota; Viridiplantae; Streptophyta; Magnoliopsida; Malpighiales; Euphorbiaceae. The record is from RNAcentral.
GAAACCCUUUGCAGCUGCGCUUCAACAAUUCAAGUACUCUCCCAUCUCUUCCUUUCUUCGUCUUGCUAUAUAUAUAGAUGAAAAAGAAAAAUAGAAAAAUCAAGAACAUUAACAACAAGUUUAAGCAUACGGAGAGAUGUCUCUAAUUUACCAUAAAACCUGCACAUCUCUGUCAAUGAUUCUUUGCCUAAACCUCAUUUUUUCACAGUACUUAUCAUCAUCAUCUGGAAUCCAGCAGCCAUCAGCAUAUGACAUCCUCAGUGACUACAGCUUUCCUAUAGGGCUACUCCCCAAGGGAGUUAUUGGCUAUGAUCUUGACAAGACAACCGGUAAAUUUUAUGCAUUCUUGAAUGGUACUUGCAGCUUUUCUCUUGAAGGAUCUUAUCAGAUAAGAUACAAGUCAACCAUCAAAGGGUACAUAUCUAGAGGGAAGCUUUCGAGCUUGGAGGGUGUUAGUGUGAAGUUGUUUUUCAUGUGGAUUGAUAUCAUUGAGGUGUCAAGAAAUAGGGAUGAUCUGGAAUUCUCUGUUGGGAUUGCUGGUGCUGGAUUUCCUAUUGAUAAUUUUGAGGAGUGUCCCCAAUGUGGGUGUGGUUUGAAUUGUGGAGAUCAGAGGAAAGUCAGCAAGUUCAGAUCUAACCCUUUUGUAUCUUCUUCAUAGGGAAGCAUGAAUCAAAGAUUUCAAUCUCAUGAAAUGUUUUUGUUGGAAUUCUUGAUUGUGAUUAUUGUUUGAUUGGAAUGAAUUGAAUUGGGUUAUGUUUAUUGUCACAAAUUCUUGCUGCUUUUUCCAUUCAAUUUUUUUU